GCGGUCUGUCGCGUCUGCUGUGAAAAUCCGGGGCUCAACCCCGGACUUGCAGUGGGUACGGGCAGACUAGAGUGUGGUAGGGGAGACUGGAAUUCCUGGUGUAGCGGUGAAAUGCGCAGAUAUCAGGAGGAACACCGAUGGCGAAGGCAGGUCUCUGGGCCACUACUGACGCUGAGAAGCGAAAGCAUGGGGAGCGAACAGGAUUAGAUACCCUGGUAGUCCAUGCCGUAAACGUUGGGAACUAGGUGUGGGUCUCAUUCCACGAGAUCCGUGCCGCAGCUAACGCAUUAAGUUCCCCGCCUGGGGAGUACGGCCGCAAGGCUAAAACUCAAAGGAAUUGACGGGGGCCCGCACAAGCGGCGGAGCAUGCGGAUUAAUUCGAUGCAACGCGAAGAACCUUACCAAGGCUUGACAUACACCGGAAACACCCAGAGAUGGGUGCCCCGCAAGGUCGGUGUACAGGUGGUGCAUGGUUGUCGUCAGCUCGUGUCGUGAGAUGUUGGGUUAAGUCCCGCAACGAGCGCAACCCUCGUUCUAUGUUGCCAGCGCGUCAUGGCGGGGACUCAUAGGAGACUGCCGGGGUCAACUCGGAGGAAGGUGGGGAUGACGUCAAAUCAUCAUGCCCCUUAUGUCUUGGGCUUCACGCAUGCUACAAUGGCCGGUACAAAGGGCUGCGAUACCGCAAGGUGGAGCGAAUCCCAAAAAACCGGUCUCAGUUCGGAUUGGGGUCUGCAACUCGACCCCAUGAAGUCGGAGUCGC
This 760-nucleotide ribosomal RNA is filed under the name uncultured Actinomycetes bacterium. Its description in RNAcentral is "bacterial SSU rRNA". It matches the Rfam family "Bacterial small subunit ribosomal RNA", at positions 575 to 1335 of the family's 1533-position model. Lineage: Bacteria; Bacillati; Actinomycetota; Actinomycetes. The record is from RNAcentral.